This 723-nucleotide ribosomal RNA is filed under the name Triticum aestivum (bread wheat). RNAcentral's name for it is "partial small subunit ribosomal RNA". Lineage: Eukaryota; Viridiplantae; Streptophyta; Magnoliopsida; Poales; Poaceae. The record is from RNAcentral.
AUGGAGGAGGAGCUGACGCUGGUGGGGUACUGGUCGAGCCCGUUCGCGUUGCGCGCGCGCUUCGCCCUCAACCUCAAGGGCCUCCCCUACGCGUACGUGGAGGAGGUGGGCCUCUUCGACGGCAAGAGCCCGCUCCUCCUCGCCUCCAACCCCGUGCACAAGAGGGUGCCGGUGCUCAUCCACAACGGCAAGCCCGUCCCCGAGUCGCAGCUCAUCGUGCAGUACGUCGACGAGGCUUUCCCGGCCAGCUCCCCGCGCCUCCUCCCUCCCGACCCGCACGAGCGCGCCGUCGCUCGCUUCUGGGCCUCCUACGUCGACGGCGAGCUGCUCAGCGCGUGGCUGCCCGUCUACGGCGGACGCACCGGCGAGGAGAGGGCAGAGGCGGCGGGGCGGGUCGGCGCCGCCCUGGAGACGCUGGAGCGAGCGUUCGGGGAGUGCUCCAAGGGGAAGGGCUUCUUCGGCGGGGACACGGUGGGGCUCGUGGACGUCGUGCUCGGCGGCUUCGUCGGGUGGCUGCAGACGUCCGAGGCCAUGUGCGGCGUGAGGCUGCUCGACGCCGCCGCGACGCCGCUGCUGGCGGCCUGGGCGGAGCGGUUUCGCGCGCUCGACGGCGUCAAGGAGGUGAUGCCGGAUGCGCAGAGGCUGCUCGAGUACAACCUGAUGAGGCGAGCUCGCCUCGGGCUGCCGCCGACCUCGCCGCCGCCGCCGCUACAGCACCAAUAG